UUGAUUGCAGACUAUUAACAGCAUUAAAGAUGAACAAUUUAAAUAAUUCCCGCAUGAGUUCGAAUAUUUCACCAGUCCCUUCCAGGCCAGAUGUUCCCAAAGUGCCAGAUAAUUCGACACGACGUACGUACAAAUCUAUCUAUAUAUACAUAUAAGUGAACAAGCUCAGAGACUUUGGGUGAAGUAAAGCAUAUAAAUUACUAAUACGCACUGUUGUCUUUGUCUGCACUUGGACAGAUACACAUGUAGCUGGUAGCAUAUGUAAUUCAAGUGUAAAAUAACAACGUUUUCACCUUGCCCACAAUGUUGCCAAAAUGUUUCACUUUGUCUGGGACACAAAGAUUCAAUUAGUUUGCCAUUGAAUACAUUUUGAUAUGUCAGUCAGUGUUUUAUUUGGCACAGAUUGUAGACAUUUGCUAAUUGAAUUAUAUUUAUCGAGAAAUUCCAUCACUUUGCUGAGGGAUUUAUAAUUAGUUUUGAGCAGGAAUGUGAUGGAAAUUUUCUGAGACUUGCUAUUGCGAUUUAUUUUUGAGGAACAAGAUUGCACACAAAACUCUCCUGAGCUGUUAAUGAUUAUCAAUUUUCAAAUCAGUCGAAAAUUAAAACCAAUACAGUCUCAAAGGAAACAGUACAACUCUUGCUCAGUAUUAAAAUAAUUUAAUUUAAUUAAUAAUGAUUUGGCUCCUUUAUUAUAUUUCACUCUGUGAAAAGCUAAGAAACUUUUGUGUUUUACUUCAAAGCAAAUUGUGCCAUAAUCACUGAAAUUUGCGUUAAAAUUAUAAAAGUUUGCGUCAAACAUAAGUUCUUAGUUAGUCAGCUGUUGAAGUUUGUCUUUUGUUCAAGUUACUGCAAUUUCGCACAGUUUUUAUUCACAAAUUUGCAUAUUUUGUGCGCAGGCGUCACGCGUCGAAUGGAUGGAACAGCUGUUUUUAGCUUUCUGGAUUUGAAUUGCUGUAUUCAAAUUGUUGUAUUUGAAUUGUUUUUGAAUUCGCCAAGUGGUUUGGUGGGUGAGUGGCUUUGUGGCCGCCUUGACCUUGUAACUGUUUUCAAAGUACUUUGUCUCGCUUAAUUGUUUCGCGGUAUUUACCAGGCAUUUAUUGUGAGCAUUUUUAAGUACCUCCAUUACCGAUGGUUUUGUUCAGCAUCAAAGGUGUGAAUGAAGAAGUCAAACAAAAGCCACUAAAAACCAAUAAAGAUGUACACGACUUACAACUGUCGAUCUCGGCUUGGCCUACCUUAAAUAUGAGGUUGUUAUACACUUAUGGUGGCUUUUUUUACAAAACUUGUAUAUCGGUUAAGAAAUCUAUGUUUUACCUGUCCUUCUAAUAAAUGAUUAUGAAUAAAUGAAGAGAGCAAGUGUAUUAAGCUCUUCGUAUUGAUUAGUUUA
Drosophila ficusphila is the source of this 1387-nucleotide long non-coding RNA. RefSeq lists it as uncharacterized. Lineage: Eukaryota; Metazoa; Arthropoda; Insecta; Diptera; Drosophilidae. The record is from RefSeq and is a predicted model, not a curated record. The transcript has 2 exons.